CCCAAUGUCUUUGGGCCAUGCCUUGGGUUUAUAUGGAUCAUGGACGGAUUAUCAGUAUGCCUAUGACCGAAACGAAUGUUAACAACAAUUAUGACCUAACCGAAUAACCUCACCCCUUGUUAUUAUUGAUCUUGUUAAUUUCUUGUGCAGAGUAUACAGAUUGAGAAUUGUGACACCUCAGUUUGUCGUUGGAGAACAAAGUGGUUCCUCACUCCCUGUGGGAUUCGACCCUACACUUACCACUAAGACUGAGAUCUUGUUGUGAGACGUAAGAGCGUGUAUUGUCUGUACUAGGCAUACACAAGUAUUUUGUCCGCACCGCACGACGGGUGUGUGUCAGCAUACCUGACAAGUAAGCGGUGCAGAUCUAAGGCAUCACAGGCUGAGAAAGAAACUGGCCCAAACUCUAAGCACACCUGACUCGGAAGAGCAGAGUCGUGUCACACAACGAUCAAAGCAAAGUAGCAGCACCGUGAUCACUAUUUUUAUAGCAACAAUAACUGCAACUAAACAGUGUAAUUGUAGUACUAAAACAGUAAGCAGAAUAUCGUAUCCACAGAGACUGUAAAACGAAAUCACUCUAUCUACUUCCUAAACAGACUCUCACAGUAUGCAAGUGAAACGAAAUUGAAGGUGAAAUAUGAACUAAGAUUAACUAAAUUAAAACUAAAGAGCAUAUAAAUAACGAUUACUUAACUCAAAUAUAAGGAAAACUCUGACCCUAGGGAUGUACUUUCACUAAUCAACUACAUGCAUUUAACCUAUUGAUUCAAUUACCAAUUUUAAUCCAACCCGGAUGAAAGAUCACUAUAUUAUUCACAAGCGUCUCUAACGACCACCUAUGAACGUAGAUUAAUAAAUCCCUUUUCGCAUUCAAGACUCCAAGGAAUAAAUUAACUCCAAAUAGCACAUAAAGAAUAGCUUCCUAUAGCUUCACCUAUCGCAUUCAAGACUCAAGGCUAACACUAUAUCAUGCAUUCCUGAAUCGGCUGAACAAUUAUCGCAUUCAAGACUCAAACUGAACAGCUAGACAUGUAAAUCAUUGAUCAGAUAAUUCACAAGAGACAGGCACCAGGAAUCAUGAAUCACAAGUUGGAAGGCAAAUUGAUAUCAAUAAAUCAAAAACACAUAAUCAAUCAGCUAUGUACAAACCCUAGGUUCAGAUUAAAAGACUAGCCAGACAUAAUAAAAUCAAACAUAAACAUAAUUAAAUUGAACGCAAUUGUAAAAACAAAUUGUAUAAAAACCGAAUUAAAACGAUUGUAGCGGCUUGAAUCUUCAAUCUUGAUCCAAGCCUUGAAAACUGGAAAGCUAAAAUGUUCUAAAGCUAUAAAACUGAAAUAUGAAUGUUGGGAACUGAAAAACUAAAGCUGGGAACCCUAGAUAGGUCGAAAGAGGACCUAUUUAUAGUCUUAGGGUGAAAAACCAAGUUACUAAAACCAAAAAUAACUUAGAAAAAUACGUAAAAACGCGGAAGGAAAUAAAACACGCGAUCAAGUUCGGCGACCCGUUCGGCGGUCGCCGAAUUGAUCGACCGAAAUCUGGACCUAUUUAACACACGAAAACGGCGACCGCCGUUUUUCUCUCCGAAGGCCAAAAUCCAUCCAGGGAAAUCGGCGACCUGGCCGGCGAUCGCCGUCUUGGUCGCCGUUUUCACCCUUUAAAUCACCAAAAUUCGGCGGUCAACGCCCUUUGACCGCCGAGUUGCUCCUUUUCCAUCCCGAGUCCAGAAUCUUCGUCUUUUCUCGAUUUUUAGGCUCGAUUCUCUCAAAACUCUUCUCUUCAACAUGUUCCUUACACUUCAUGCUCCAAUAUCACUCAAUUCUGCAUCCAAACAGUCAAAACUACACCCAACCGUGAAAUCUCGAAAUAAUAGUAAAUGAACUUCAAACAAUAAUGAAACGGCUGUAAAAUCGACUUAAACUACAAAAUAUAAACCAUAAAAACCAUGCAAAAUGAGUGUUUAUCACACCGAUACAAGUCGGCGCAGACUAGACUAGAGGAAACCUGAUUCCAAGCACAACUACGAAAAUUCAAAGCUCUCUUUUCGUAGACUAGGGGGGAGUAGCUGAUGAGGAGUGAGGAUCCCAUCAGUCAUCCUAUCCUAAGCAAAGACAGCGGCGUCGACUUAGGGCCUUGAACAUACGCGACUUAAGAAGCAUGGAUACAUCACACGAUCGUCGAAAUAAUAUAGCGGCGCCGGCUAAUGUCGGCGCAGAUUAAGAAAGAAGCUGGUUUAAACUCCAGGCCCACUUGGCUCGAAAGAAGCAAGGUCAUAUCAUACAAAAUAAAGAUAGCGGCGCUGACGAAUGUCUGCGCAGACUAGAGAAGACAGCGCAGCAUUAAAGCAACAUCCGGAGAAGACCCAGGGAAAGAAAUAAGCUCGGAAAAUUCAGCGCAGAAAAGGAAUGGAAAUAACCAACAGUGAAAGCUUGGAAAGAGCACGUGUUCAACGAAAAGCUGCAAAGUAGUUAGAGAGUUUGUUAGAGGAAAGAGAAUCGUUCACGUACGCCGCAUGUGGAGUACGUAAACGACGUGUAAAGACCCUUAUACCCUUCGCCCUAAUGUAAUCCUAUAAAUAUACCUUGUAACUCAUUAUAUAGAACACGCAAUUUUACUCUAAGAAUUCUCAUCUGCAAGUUUUCAAGCAAGCUCCCUUUCAUACUGCGAUACAGGUUACUCCGACCUCCUUUUCUGGCUUGUUUAGAUAGGUUUGAAUGUUAGGCUUCACCAGCUAUCACCCAAGAUACAGAGUACUCAAGUUACUAUAUAACUCUCACUCAUAGUAAAUCAAAGUGAUACACGAAUUAACAUAUAUAUUCGAAAUCUUAUUAGUAUUAAGAUUUUAUUAAGUCACCGAGAUCUUGAUUCUUCACUUAAGUCAGAUAGAAUAAUACAUCUCACUGUGGUCCUAUCAAUACGUUAUGAUGUACCAGUAUAGACAAGUAGUCAAGACAAACUACUUCCAUCUAUACCGUAGCCGAAACCGAUGACUCGUCCUAAAGUCAUCUCGGCUGUGAUCAUAUUAUAUCUCUUAAGGUUAAUCCAAUUAUAUGGUCUUCUGUGAUCUACAACAUACUAUAUAGUCUACUUGUAUAGAGAUAGAGAACAUACAUAUGCAAUCAUGAACACAAUCAGAUAGGAGAUUGGAUAGUGAACUUAGGAAACAUUGUAUACAAGCAUAAAACGUUCUUGCUUUCAGUAUACAAAUCCAACACUCACGUGCUUCUAUAACUAAGAUCAUGUAUGAGAAACUUUAGUUCUGCGAGGUACCUGAAUCAUCACUAUUUAGUGGGUUUCCCAUGUUGUAAUAUAGCAUGUAUCACACUUGUUCAAGUGUUUUCCCAAAAUAUGCUUAUCAUGUGCUACAAAAAUUCUUAAGCACAAAUAUUAGUAACAUAGGAGAGCCCUUAAAGGCAGGGCCGUAAAUCAUAAAUCAUGUGGGUAAUGAACCCACAAUAGUUAAAGGUCCACUUACAUGCAGCAUGCGGUUCAACUAUCAAAGCAAUUAAUGAGCAGUUCCAUAUCAUUUAUUAAUAUAUGCAUUUGAUCAUGUUCACAUGUCUUGAAAAGAAAUAAAUAAUGCUAAAUUUCGACAAGCAAUAAUCAUUACCCUUAUUUAUUGAGGUUGCACUUAUAGAGCACUUAGUUCGUCUUCUGCUUUAUCGAGAAGUAUGAGCAAUUGUAAAUCAACAUAAUCAUCUUCUGCUUUAUCGAGAAUCCAAUCUAAUUAACUUCUACUUCGCAAAUUCCUCCCAACGAAACCCAAGAAUCCCAAAUCCCUCCAGUAAUUCACCACAACUAAACCAAAUUCUAUAAACAAGCAUGCAUGUUUGGCACAAUGCCCCCUAGUUUCAGAGUCAAGAAAGGCCAGCCAUACCUGGUAAUAAUAGAUGUGGACUCAUCCCGUUGAGGAUCACGUUUGGUAGCUGAUCAAGCGCUGCCGACAAAGGCAGCAGCUACACGCUAGUGAGUGGUGAGACACAGAUUUGUUCUUUAUCAUUUCCGCUGUCGUAAAUAAUGUCAUCUUCUGAUUUUGAUCUUCGGAGACUAUUUCACCGAUUCUGGUAAUGGCGCCGAUAACAUUGCCUGGUUAGGAUUCCAAUGUUGUUACCUUUCCAUCCAAAAAAAGAAAAAGAAAAUCAGAGCCUCAAAUUGGUAGAGAAAAUCACAAAAAUGAAUUUGAAUUUGAGGAAUUGAAAACAGGGGCAGAGCGGCGGCCGAGUUGGUGGAUUUCUCCCUUUCCGAAUGAGUAAUAUACGAUAGAUAUGCGCCGCUUUUCAGAAGAGGGCGGAGAUUCUUUUGGAGAGCAGUGGUGGAAACUGAUUUCCGGCGGAGAAUAUAGAGAGACGAGCGAGGGGCUUCGCAGAGCAGGAUCUGUAGAUUUUGGGAUUUUCACUGGUUUCUAUGGAGAUAGUGGUCGGGCGUUUCUUGUAUGAGAAUAGAGAAAGAACUUCUGAAAAUUUUCUUGUAUGAGCGAAUUGAGAGAACUUCAUCGAUUUUUGGGGGAAAUCGCUGGAAAUUGAAGAGAAAGAAAGAGAACAGGGAUGGAAGUCGUUGCACGGCGAUUGAACAGGAUGAUAAACUUGGACCUUCAGAGAUUUUUUUUUCAGUCGAACUAUGAGAGAUGAGGGUGGGCGUGAGG
Molecule: long non-coding RNA, 4645 nt
Filed under: Salvia miltiorrhiza (redroot sage)
Lineage: Eukaryota; Viridiplantae; Streptophyta; Magnoliopsida; Lamiales; Lamiaceae
Description: long non-coding RNA (SMIL_LNC001023)
Source: RNAcentral